Long non-coding RNA from Dioscorea cayenensis subsp. rotundata (Guinea yam), 560 nucleotides. RefSeq lists it as uncharacterized. Lineage: Eukaryota; Viridiplantae; Streptophyta; Magnoliopsida; Dioscoreales; Dioscoreaceae. The transcript has 2 exons. The record is from RefSeq and is a predicted model, not a curated record.
CAUCCAUCCUUCCUGUUCUUCUUCCUUCUUGGGGUGACUUGGUUUUAGAGAUCUCCAGACCUUGGUUAGGCAGUAAUCAGCUGAAGGAUUGCAUAAACGGCGAAGCUUCUGAUCUUUUUUCCCAAUGGUGUCUUCGCUUUUCCAUGCCCUCUUUCCUCCAUCUUCACUAUGAAAGCGGACGAUUCCGAACAUGUACCCAUCAUCUUCAUCUGCGAAGCAUCAUGCACAUCAAGUGUUUGUUCAAAUGCCUGUUGAGUUGAGGCUCUCUUUCCCCUUUCAUGAACUCGGGAAGCCCACUUCAUUUAAGUCUAUUUCUCAUAAGCACAAUCUUCAUUUAAGGCUUCUAUCAUUGUCAUCCUGUUUUUUGAGAAAAGAUUUGUGGCACCUGCGUUGUGUUACAUAGGAUGGAUUUUCUUUACCCGAUUGGGGUCCAGAGAACUCCAAAAUGUGUGUCUUUUUUAGCCAGUGUCUUUAUAUCUAUUACUUUCUUUCAGCUUUGCAAAUUUGUUACUUAAAACAAACUGUAUCUUGGAUGAUUUUCAAGUUUUCUUUUUGAUGCA